AUACGUAGGGGGCGAGCGUUGUCCGGAAUUACUGGGCGUAAAGAGCUCGUAGGUGGUUUGUCGCGUCGUCUGUGAAAUUCCGGGGCUUAACUCCGGGCGUGCAGGCGAUACGGGCAUAACUUGAGUACUGUAGGGGAGACUGGAAUUCCUGGUGUAGCGGGGAAAUGCGCAGAUAUCAGGAGGAACACCGGUGGCGAAGGCGGGUCUCUGGGCAGUAACUGACGCUGAGGGGCGAAAGCAUGGGUAGCGAACAGGAUUAGAUACCCUGGUAGUCCAUGCCGUAAACGGUGGGCGCUAGGUGUAGGGGUCUUCCACGACUUCUGUGCCGUAGCUAACGCAUUAAGCGCCCCGCCUGGGGAGUACGGCCGCAAGGCUAAAACUCAAAUGAAUUGACGGGG
RNAcentral lists this ribosomal RNA (398 nucleotides) under uncultured bacterium. Its description in RNAcentral is "partial 16S ribosomal RNA". It matches the Rfam family "Bacterial small subunit ribosomal RNA", at positions 523 to 918 of the family's 1533-position model. The record is from RNAcentral.